AUGCCUAGCCCUAAACAAAUAAUCAUCCUACAACUAUUUUUCGCCAGGGAACAACGAGCCUCAGCUUAAAACCCAAAGGACUUGGCGGUGCUUUAGACCCCCCUAGAGGAGCCUGUCCUAGAACCGAUAAUCCCCGUUCAACCUCACCCCCUCUUGUUCUUUCCCGCCUGUAUACCUCCGUCGUCAGUCCACCCUGUAAGGGCUUAAAAGUGGGCAAAGUUGGCACAGCCUAAAACGCCAGGUCGAGGUGCAGCUUAUGAGGGGGGAAGAGAUGGGCUACAUUUUCUGAUUCAGCAAACACGGAUUUUGCCCUGAAAAAGCAUCUGAAGGUGGAUUUAGUAGUAAGGAGGGAUUAGAGCGCCCCCCUGAAACCGGCACUGAAGCGCGUACACACCG
This 396-nucleotide ribosomal RNA is filed under the name Gobiodon citrinus. RNAcentral describes it as "partial 12S ribosomal RNA". It matches the Rfam family "Bacterial small subunit ribosomal RNA", at positions 792 to 1392 of the family's 1533-position model. Lineage: Eukaryota; Metazoa; Chordata; Actinopteri; Gobiiformes; Gobiidae. The record is from RNAcentral.